GAUGAACGCUGGCGGCGUGCUUAACACAUGCAAGUCGAACGGAAAGGCUCAUGCUUGCAGGGGUACUCGAGUGGCGAACGGGUGAGUAACACGUGGGUGAUCUGCCCUGCACUUCGGGAUAAGCCUGGGAAACUGGGUCUAAUACCGGAUAGGAGGAUGGUUUGGAUGCCAUUGUGGAAAGUUUUUCGGUGUGGGAUGAGCGAGCGGCCUAUCAGCUUGUUGGUGGGGGAAUGGCCUACCAAGGCGUCGACGGGUAGCCGGCCUGAGAGGGUGUACGGCCACAUUUUCACUGAGAUCCUCCCCCGACUCCUCCUGGAGGCAGCAGUGUGCCUUAUUGCACACUCGGCGCAAGCCUGCUGCAUCCCCUCCGCUUGGGGGAUGACGGCCUUCGGGUUCUCAACUCCUUUCGCUAGGGACGAAGCGCCCGUGACGGUACCUGGAGAACAAGCACCGGCUAACUACGUG
This 465-nucleotide ribosomal RNA is filed under the name uncultured bacterium. Its description in RNAcentral is "partial 16S ribosomal RNA". It matches the Rfam family "Bacterial small subunit ribosomal RNA", at positions 28 to 507 of the family's 1533-position model. The record is from RNAcentral.